Molecule: ribosomal RNA, 468 nt
Filed under: uncultured bacterium
Lineage: Bacteria
Description: partial 16S ribosomal RNA
Rfam family: Bacterial small subunit ribosomal RNA
Source: RNAcentral
GACGAACGCUGGCGGCGUGCUUAACACAUGCAAGUCGAACGGAAAGGCCCUGCUUUUGUGGGGUGCUCGAGUGGCGAACGGGUGAGUAACACGUGAGUAACCUGCCCUUGACUUUGGGAUAACUUCAGGAAACUGGGGCUAAUACCGGAUAGGAGCUCCUGCUGCAUGGUGGGGGUUGGAAAGUUUCGGCGGUUGGGGAUGGACUCGCGGCUUAUCAGCUUGUUGGUGGGGUAGUGGCUUACCAAGGCUUUGACGGGUAGCCGGCCUGAGAGGGUGACCGGCCACAUUGGGACUGAGAUACGGCCCAGACUCCUACAGGAGGCAGCAGUGGGGAAUAUUGUACAAUGGGCGGAAGCCUGAUGCAGCAACGCCGCGUGCGGGAUGACGGCCUUCGGGUUGUAAACCGCUUUCGCCUGUGACGAAGCGUGAGUGACGGUAAUGGGUAAAGAAGCACCGGCUAACUACGUG